Molecule: long non-coding RNA, 541 nt
Organism: Daphnia magna
Lineage: Eukaryota; Metazoa; Arthropoda; Branchiopoda; Diplostraca; Daphniidae
Exons: 2
Source: RefSeq, a predicted model, not a curated record
UAAAAAUAAUGCAUUUUUUUGUAUUUAUAGAGGUUUUUCCAUUUGGUUCGUGUAAGUAGAUGGAAAAGUCGGUGCGGCUAGUCGACUAGUGCGCACCAUGGCGGGGGAUAGCCGAAACUUGCUGCAGACUUUGCUUGAUCCAACCAAUAGACACCGUAAGGCCAUGUACUGUAACCUGUCAGGCUGUCAGCAGCAAAAGUGAAACCUGUUUGAUUUCUUAAGUGUUUAAAAUGACAAAAGCUUUUUGUUUGAUAUGUUCAACUUAUCGAAAAAAAAGAGAUCGCCGAAGUUUUUUCAAAGUGCCAGAAUGCAACAUUAACAGUAAUUCAAUUGAGAAAGAACUCAUUGAAAGAAGAAGAGCCGAGUGGUUGAAGUUGUCAAAAAGGAAUUAUAAUAUAUCCCAACUAUUUGUUUGCUCUGAUCAUUUUGUUUCAGGGGAACCUGCAUAUGUGUAUAAAACUGAAGACAUAGACUGGGUUCCUACAAUAACAAUAACAUUUUGGUUGUACGUACCCUGCAAUACAAUCACAAAAAGCAACAA